RNAcentral lists this non-coding RNA (24 nucleotides) under Arabidopsis thaliana (thale cress). The record is from RNAcentral. Lineage: Eukaryota; Viridiplantae; Streptophyta; Magnoliopsida; Brassicales; Brassicaceae.
ACCCACCCCCCUAUAUAGCUUAAU